UACGUAGGGCGCAAGCGUUGUCCGGAAUUAUUGGGCGUAAAGAGCUCGUAGGCGGUUUGUCGCGUCUGCUGUGAAAACUCGAGGCUCAACCUCGGGCGUGCAGUGGGUACGGGCAGACUAGAGUGCGGUAGGGGAGACUGGAAUUCCUGGUGUAGCGGUGGAAUGCGCAGAUAUCAGGAGGGACACCGAUGGCGAAGGCAGGUCUCUGGGCCGCAACUGACGCUGAGGAGCGAAAGCAUGGGGAGCGAACAGG
This 253-nucleotide ribosomal RNA is filed under the name uncultured bacterium. RNAcentral's name for it is "partial 16S ribosomal RNA". It matches the Rfam family "Bacterial small subunit ribosomal RNA", at positions 524 to 776 of the family's 1533-position model. The record is from RNAcentral.